Molecule: non-coding RNA, 213 nt
Organism: Desulfuromonadales bacterium C00003096
Lineage: Bacteria; Pseudomonadati; Thermodesulfobacteriota; Desulfuromonadia; Desulfuromonadales
Source: Rfam
CAAGUCCCGGCUGGGUAAGGAUUAACCAUCCACCCAUAUUGAGUGUUGCGCCUGUGGCGAAGUCAGUCUAACUGGCGAACAAGACAGGUGAAGCGUACACAAAGAACCUUGUAGGCCACAAGGGUGACCGUACACCCUGAAGUGCUGGUACAGCCUCGAUAGCGAGUUAUAUAUCUUUGAUAUAUAUGGUUGCAGUCGGCGAGGGUUUGAACG